UCUCUGGGUGCUCAGUAUGCCUGCAGGUAUGAAAACAACACGACUAUAUCCCCUAAUAGCACGAACUCUGAUUAAUUGGUCACCAUAUCAUUGCAGAUUGCACUAUGUGAAGUGAACAUUCUGAAUUCCUGCUCAUUCAUCUAGUCAUUUACGUAUUUGAUUUCUUCUUAGUCUGAAUUUCUUUUGGUCUUUUGGUCCGUCUGUCUGUAAACAUUCUGAAUUUCUGCCCUGUUGCUCAUUCUGCUGUCAUAUAGUUUUCUUUUGAUCUUUUUGGUCUGUCUGAACUCAGAAACCCUCACAUACCUUAAAACAUAAACCGCUCAGCUCUUUCUGUAACAUGAACAUUCUGUUCAUACUCUCGAGCUCAUUGUUUCUUUAGCUUGUCGGUUGUUAUUUCUCAGUGAUGGAAAUUUUUUAUCUCAACUUUCUGUUCAUGUUGGUGGUGGUUUUCAGGAUUUCCAGAUUGGGGAGAAGGUGCGGAGCUUGCCCGAUUGCCUGCACGUGUUCCACGUGCCGUGCAUCGACGGUUGGCUGAUCAAGCACGGAUCGUGCCCGCUCUGCAGGAGGAAGCUCUAGAUCAUCAUCAUCACCAUCAUCCACGACCGACGACGAAGACCGACGAGGAACUUCUAAAAUUCUGUCUGCUGCUAUUAGGAAGGAGGUCUUGCUCUGCUUGCUGCUUUGCAUGCUGUGUGUGCGCGCGCUAUGCCUGUGUUGCUGUUGCUGCUGUUAGGAGGCUGACAUAUCUAUAGAACGAACCCUAAAUUUAUAGAGCUCUUUUUUUUUUGCCUUCUUUUCUUUUUGCAUUUUGAUUUUUGAUCUCUCUCUUCUCCCGGUGGAUGUAAUAUAGUAGUACGUACGACCACCGGAACAAAAAAAGCACUGGACCGGCUUGCGCUUCGUUGUUGUUCUCCGGACUGAUGAACUCCUCAAAUCAUCAUGU
This 943-nucleotide long non-coding RNA is filed under the name Triticum aestivum (bread wheat). RNAcentral's name for it is "long non-coding RNA (TAES_LNC015476)". The record is from RNAcentral. Lineage: Eukaryota; Viridiplantae; Streptophyta; Magnoliopsida; Poales; Poaceae.